This 360-nucleotide ribosomal RNA is filed under the name Klebsiella pneumoniae. RNAcentral's name for it is "bacterial SSU rRNA". It matches the Rfam family "Bacterial small subunit ribosomal RNA", at positions 1 to 355 of the family's 1533-position model. Lineage: Bacteria; Pseudomonadati; Pseudomonadota; Gammaproteobacteria; Enterobacterales; Enterobacteriaceae. The record is from RNAcentral.
ACUUAAAUUGAAGAGUUUGAUCAUGGCUCAGAUUGAACGCUGGCGGCAGGCCUAACACAUGCAAGUCGAGCGGUAGCACAGAGAGCUUGCUCUCGGGUGACGAGCGGCGGACGGGUGAGUAAUGUCUGGGAAACUGCCUGAUGGAGGGGGAUAACUACUGGAAACGGUAGCUAAUACCGCAUAAUGUCGCAAGACCAAAGUGGGGGACCUUCGGGCCUCAUGCCAUCAGAUGUGCCCAGAUGGGAUUAGCUAGUAGGUGGGGUAACGGCUCACCUAGGCGACGAUCCCUAGCUGGUCUGAGAGGAUGACCAGCCACACUGGAACUGAGACACGGUCCAGACUCCUACGGGAGGCAGCAGU